UGGAUGAUGUGGUUUAAUUCGAUGCAACGCGAAAACCUUACCACCUUUGACAUGUACGGAACCUUUAGAGAUAGAGGGUGCUCGAAAGAGAGCCGUAACACAGGUGCUGCAUGGCUGUCGUCAGCUCGUGUCGUGAGAUGUUGGGUUAAGUCCCGCAACGAGCGCAACCCUUGUCAUUAGUUGCUACAUUCAGUUGGGCACUCUAAUGAGACUGCCGGUGACAAGCCGGAGGAAGUGGGGAUGACGUCAAGUCCUCAUGGCCCUUAUAGGUGGGGCUACACACGUCAUACAAUGGCUGGUACAAAGGGUUGCCAACCCGCGAGGGGGAGCCAAUCCCAUAAAGCCAGUCGUAGUCCGGAUCGUAGUCUGCAACUCGACUACGUGAAGUCGGAAUCGCUAGUAAUCGUGGAUCAGAAUGUCACGGUGAGUACGUUCCCGGGUCUU
RNAcentral lists this ribosomal RNA (444 nucleotides) under uncultured Rhodoferax sp. Its description in RNAcentral is "bacterial SSU rRNA". It matches the Rfam family "Bacterial small subunit ribosomal RNA", at positions 933 to 1382 of the family's 1533-position model. Lineage: Bacteria; Pseudomonadati; Pseudomonadota; Betaproteobacteria; Burkholderiales; Comamonadaceae. The record is from RNAcentral.